Molecule: non-coding RNA, 198 nt
Organism: Paramuricea clavata
Lineage: Eukaryota; Metazoa; Cnidaria; Anthozoa; Malacalcyonacea; Plexauridae
Source: the annotation of a GenBank genome assembly
GUUAACAACUUGUAACAAGCUUGAUGGUACUAUCAGACUUGUUGCAAGGUUGUUCCAACAAGUCUGAUACAAUAUUGGUACAAGUUUGUGUCGUUAACCUUGUAACAUUCUUGUUAUAUCAUGACUGCAUCAGACUUGUUAGAACGAUCUUGUAACAAGUCAAUAAUAAUGCCAUCAAGCUUGUUACAAGUUGUUAAC